UGAUAGCGUUGAAACGUGAGGUUGCUGCGGCCAAAAACAGGCGCGCAGGUUUUCCGUGGAGCGAAUGUCAAGUUAUGAAAACUGGCGACAA
This 91-nucleotide non-coding RNA is filed under the name chicken gut metagenome. RNAcentral describes it as "S10-Clostridia ribosomal protein leader". It matches the Rfam family "S10-Clostridia ribosomal protein leader". The record is from RNAcentral.